Cercocebus atys (sooty mangabey) is the source of this 902-nucleotide long non-coding RNA. RefSeq lists it as uncharacterized. NCBI's taxonomy places the organism in Eukaryota, Metazoa, Chordata, Mammalia, Primates, Cercopithecidae. The transcript has 2 exons. The record is from RefSeq and is a predicted model, not a curated record.
AGUUUCCUGAGCAUCUCUGCCAGGCCUCCAGCAGCCCUGGAGCAAGACAGCAGGACAACACUGCUAAUAGCACCAGCAUUUGCCACCCAGCCUCCCUCUUCCACCUAGGCAUGCCAUCGGCAACCAUGACCGAAGUGUCGGAGGGAGGACUAACUUCUGGAAAUUGCCAGGACCCAGCCUGUAAUGAAAGAGGAUGGGAGACCUGAGAAGUGAGAUGCAGAUCUGGCCAGAGGAAGUAGGAGAACUGCUGGCCCACAGGUCACGUGCUUACCCCACACCAAUAACCGCUACCAGGGAAGACCAAGCUCUGAUGGGCUUACCCUGACCAGCUCCCACCUCCUGAGCUGGGGCUGGGUCUGCAGGGGAGCAGAUACCUGAACAAAAUUGGAGUUUUGAUAACAACAAAGAAAAUAUAAUUUUACUUAAAGUGAUCCAAGGGACACUGAGUCAGCCAUUCAUGAAGCGGAACAUGGUGAACGCCAAGGUGAAGAGCAGCCGCAUGAGAUCCUAAAGGAAAGCCCGGGAGUCACACAAGUGGAGUACAGCAGCAAACCCCUCCACCGCCUGCCCUUGACUUUGGUCUUGCCAGGGAACAGUUGAUGCCGACAAGAUGACGCAGCCGGGAAGUGAAUAUCCUGUCUGCUCCUUGUUCUGUGCUGUCUGUGUGUCCUAGCUUGCCACCCCAAAUCAAGGCAUCCCUUAAAAGCCCCUGGGUCCAAGCAUCCAGAUGCUCAGUGAACGCAGUGCUCUAACUCCAUCUUCCACCUUCCAUUAAGAAGGCAAUGACUCUCAUUCAAUGCAACUCCAUCUUCCGCUAACCCCUAAAAGGAAUUUACAUUCUGCUCAUUUCACUUCCCAUUAUAUUGUAUUAAUCUUCCCAUCAUUAAACCUUUUAAACCCAA